This is a long non-coding RNA of Magnolia sinica, 1263 nucleotides long. RefSeq lists it as uncharacterized. The transcript has 2 exons. The record is from RefSeq and is a predicted model, not a curated record. NCBI's taxonomy places the organism in Eukaryota, Viridiplantae, Streptophyta, Magnoliopsida, Magnoliales, Magnoliaceae.
AAGAACUAAAACUGAUGAGACCCUCCCAUUUGAUCAUACUAUAUAUAUAGAUAAUAAUGUGAUUUGGGUCACCCAUCUCAACGAACCAAUGUGAAUGCGAUGGGGAUUGUUGCUUGGUAGACACACUCUCGUAAAGGAAUUAUAGGAGGAAGAGUUCUCAAAUGGAACAAAAACCGGCAAGUGACAUUGGCUCCCUAUGUUUUAUAAGCAUACAUUCCUCUACUCCCAUCAAGGUUUUUGGUUCCAAUAUACAACAGCCUACAUCUACUGUUGAAACCUUCCCGGGGCUCGCGGUGAUGUUUAUUUCUCAUCCAACCUAUUAACGAGGUCACAAAGACAGAAAUCAAGGGAAAACACAAAUAUCAACUUUAUCUAAAACUUCUUUAGCCCCCACAAAAUUUUCAACGGUACGCAUUCAAUUCCCACUGUUUCCUGUGGUGUGGUUCGCUUGAGCUUUGGAUAGGGUUUCAGUUAUAGGCUCAUAUCCUAAAACAAGUUGGUGAUUAAAUGGACGGAUGGUGUGGAUAAGACACUAACAUCACAGUGCUUGAUUAUCAUUGAUGACAUUUAAAGAGUUCUAUUUUUUUUUUUUCAAAUUAUUGUCCUUUGAAAUUAAAAUUUAAUUCUAGAGCUAAUUUUCACUUUUGACAAUUUAGAAUUUGGCCAAAAAUUUAAUUUCUAAUUUUAAGCCAUUUACAAUUCUUUGUAAAAAACUACUUUUCAUAUUCUUAGAGAUUAUUUAAAUUUCAAGGUGUUAAACACAACUUGACACACUGAAAUUCUCAAGAAUCCAAUUACUAUAGAUGUACAUUCUUCAAAUUUCAAGUGUCAAAACCACCUAUAAAUUCCUUUGAAGACAUUUCUAACCUCACUUCCAUCUUUUUCUACCUUUUUAAGCUUGCUUCUUAAAGGUGCCGUAGAAGAAGAAGAAGAAGCAGGAACAUCAGGAUGGGAGAUUACUAAGGCAUGACUUGAAGAAAGGUGAUAUCUAUCAUCUAGCGGCAAUCCCAAAUUCCUUACACUUAUCAUCUAUGUCUCAUCAUCCAACAAUAUGUAUGGUUCAUUGUGUGCUUUCUCACUUUUAACUUCCUUUCUCCUUUAAAUAUGUGAACAUUAGUUUAGCCAAUAAACCUUUGGAAUUUGUACUUUCUAAUCUAGUGACAAGCUCUGUUUCCCUAUUAGAUACAUUUCAUUGAUGAUGUUAGUACAUUUUCUUGGGAAGGCGCUUUUAUUUUAUUUUAUGGUAAAGCAUUUCAUUGAUGA